UACAGAGGAUGCGAGCGUUACUCGGAAUUACUGGGCGUAAAGCGCGCGUAGGCGGUUUGUUAAGUCAGCUGUGAAAGCCCCGGGCUCAACCUGGGAACUGCAGUUGAUACUGGCCGACUGGAGUGCGAGAGAGGGAGGUAGAAUUCCAUGUGUAGCGGUGAAAUGCGUAGAUAUAUGGAGGAAUACCGGUGGCGAAGGCGGCCUCCUGGCUCGACACUGACGCUGAGGUGCGAAGGCGUGGGGAUCAAACAGG
Molecule: ribosomal RNA, 253 nt
Filed under: uncultured bacterium
Lineage: Bacteria
Description: partial 16S ribosomal RNA
Rfam family: Bacterial small subunit ribosomal RNA
Source: RNAcentral